UGUGCCAUGUCCCGGCUCCACUGUAACGAUGAGCUCUGGUGUGAUAGUGCUCCUCCUUAUCCGGGGAGACACCCAGGACUGCAAUCCAGAUCCAAGCAACCCAGAGUCCCACUCAGUACUAGCAAAGAGACCCUUGUAAUCUCCUUCUGUCCAGAUGUUCGACCCCCUUAUCUUCUGUGAGCUGAGAACUCUGCAAGCAGCUACCACUGUUGCUGAUUCCGUGGCUUCCAUGGCUUCCUCAUGCUUUACUGGGGUUGGGGCUGUGCUGGAUGAAGCCUGCUUCACUCUAGACUGUGUUCUACUCUCGUCCAGGUGCGGCAGACCUUUCUUGUUGACUUUCUAAGUUGUCUUUGACUGGAAAAAUUAUUUCACCCUGUACUUAGGUGUGUUCUGCUGCUCCAGAAAUUGAUCUAUGGCAUUAUUUAAAAGUGUUCAGGAGUUUGGAGGAGGCUCUGAUGAGAAAGCUAAAGUCUGGAAAGGCAUGACUUUUUCAAAGUCAUAUGAACAAACUCAGUCCCCACUAUACUUCUUAUGGUACCCACUGAGAUGACCAAGGAGAGAACUGACAACAUGGAAUUGAGAAUUGUGCAGUUAAGGAUACAAUCACCAUCUCUUUCACUUGUAUUCAAGGCCCUCCAUUUGAACCCAGUCUACCUAUCUGACCAUACUUCCUCCUACUGCUCUAUAUAGCCUCUCUGCUCCAUUUAAGCUGGACUAUUUUUUAUUCACUAAAUAAAUUGCAUGUUUUUCUCUCUGUGAU
This is a long non-coding RNA of Antechinus flavipes (yellow-footed antechinus), 760 nucleotides long. RefSeq lists it as uncharacterized. The transcript has 3 exons. Lineage: Eukaryota; Metazoa; Chordata; Mammalia; Dasyuromorphia; Dasyuridae. The record is from RefSeq and is a predicted model, not a curated record.